Molecule: ribosomal RNA, 616 nt
Filed under: Podofomes mollis
Lineage: Eukaryota; Fungi; Basidiomycota; Agaricomycetes; Polyporales; Polyporaceae
Description: Cerioporus mollis partial 28S ribosomal RNA
Rfam family: Eukaryotic large subunit ribosomal RNA
Source: RNAcentral
GGAUUCCCCUAGUAACUGCGAGUGAAGCGGGAAAAGCUCAAAUUUAAAAUCUGGCGGUCUUUGGCCGUCCGAGUUGUAGUCUGGAGAAGUGCUUUCCGCGCUGGACCGUGUACAAGUCUCUUGGAACAGAGCGUCAUAGAGGGUGAGAAUCCCGUCUUUGACAUGGACUACCAGUGCUUUGUGAUGCGCUCUCAAAGAGUCGAGUUGUUUGGGAAUGCAGCUCAAAAUGGGUGGUGAAUUCCAUCUAAAGCUAAAUAUUGGCGAGAGACCGAUAGCGAACAAGUACCGUGAGGGAAAGAUGAAAAGCACUUUGGAAAGAGAGUUAAACAGUACGUGAAAUUGCUGAAAGGGAAACGCUUGAAGUCAGUCGCGUUGUCCGGAACUCAGCCUUGCUUCGGCUUGGUGCAUUUUCCGGGCGACGGGCCAGCAUCGAUUUUGACCGUCGGAAAAGGGCUGAGGGAAUGUGGCACCUUCGGGUGUGUUAUAGCCUUCAGUCGCAUACGGCGGUUGGGAUCGAGGAACGCAACACGCCUUAUGGCUGGGGUUCGCCCACAUUCGUGCUUAAGAUGCUGGCAUAAUGGCUUUAAACGACCCGUCUUGAAACACGGACCAAGGA